This 253-nucleotide ribosomal RNA is filed under the name uncultured bacterium. RNAcentral describes it as "partial 16S ribosomal RNA". It matches the Rfam family "Bacterial small subunit ribosomal RNA", at positions 524 to 776 of the family's 1533-position model. The record is from RNAcentral.
UACAGAGGGGGCGAGCGUUGUUCGGAAUUACUGGGCGUAAAGCGCGCGUAGGCGGCUUUGCAAGUCGGGUGUGAAAUCCCCAGGCUUAACCUGGGAACUGCAUUCGAGACUGCAUUGCUAGAGUAUGGGAGAGGGAAGUGGAAUUUCCGGUGUAGCGGUGAAAUGCGUAGAUAUCGGAAGGAACAUCAGUGGCGAAAGCGACUUCCUGGACCAAUACUGACGCUCAUGUGCGAAAGCGUGGGGAGCAAACAGG